AUAUCUCUCUGUACGGGAAGGAUGAGAAGCUUCGACUAAGGUUCGAUUCGAACGCAGCGAGAAAGCGUUGCCGCAGGCAACGACCCGAAGGGCGAAGCGCGCAGCGCUGAGUAAUCCUUCCCCCACCACCA
Molecule: small RNA, 131 nt
Filed under: Salmonella enterica subsp. enterica serovar Muenchen
Lineage: Bacteria; Pseudomonadati; Pseudomonadota; Gammaproteobacteria; Enterobacterales; Enterobacteriaceae
Description: RtT sRNA
Rfam family: RtT RNA
About the family: This family represents a bacterial cis-regulatory element known as RtT RNA. The exact function of RtT is unknown although it is thought that it may be involved in changing the cellular response in relation to amino acid starvation.
Source: RNAcentral